AGAGUUUGAUCCUGGCUCAGGAUGAACGCUAGCUACAGGCUUAACACAUGCAAGUCGAGGGGAAACGACAUCGAAAGCUUGCUUUUGAUGGGCGUCGACCGGCGUCACGGGUGAGUAACGCGUAUCCAACCUGCCCACCACUUGGGGANAACCUUGCGAAAGUAAGACUAAUACCCAAUGAUAUCUCUAGAAGACAUCUGAAAGAGAUUAAAGAUUUAUCGGUGAUGGAUGGGGAUGCGUCUGAUUAGCUUGUUGGCGGGGUAACGGCCCACCAAGGCGACGAUCAGUAGGGGUUCUGAGAGGAAGGUCCCCCACAUUGGAACUGAGACACGGUCCAAACUCCUACGGGAGGCAGCA
This 357-nucleotide ribosomal RNA is filed under the name uncultured bacterium. Its description in RNAcentral is "bacterial SSU rRNA". It matches the Rfam family "Bacterial small subunit ribosomal RNA", at positions 8 to 353 of the family's 1533-position model. The record is from RNAcentral.